This 656-nucleotide small RNA is filed under the name Pongo abelii (Sumatran orangutan). RNAcentral's name for it is "processed transcript". The record is from RNAcentral. Lineage: Eukaryota; Metazoa; Chordata; Mammalia; Primates; Hominidae.
GCAGUGGUCUCAGCGAUGGCGGCUGCGUCGGCGUCGGUUCUGCAACGCUGUAUCGUGUCGCCGGCUGGGAGGCAUAGUGCCUCUCUGAUCUUCCUGCAUGGCUCAGGUGAUUCUGGACAAGGAUUACGAAUGUGGAUCAAGCAGGUUUUAAAUCAAGAUUUAACAUUCCAACACAUAAAAAUUAUUUAUCCAACAGCUCCUCCCAGAAUGUAUUUUUUAUUGCAGUUACACUGUUGGACCAAGUUUUGCCAGAUCAUAUACUCCUAUGAAAGGUGGAAUCUCCAAUGUAUGGUUUGACAGAUUUAAAAUAACCAAUGACUGCCCAGAACACCUUGAAUCAAUUGAUGUCAUGUGUCAAGUGCUUACUGAUUUGAUUGAUGAAGAAGUAAAAAGUGGCAUCAAGAAGAACAGGAUAUUAAUAGGUAAGACCUUUAAAUGUUGGUAAUUUAUAGCUGUUCACUUUUGUCUAAUUCUAUACAUCAAAUCUUACUUGGAACAUUAUUUAGAAGCACUUGUAUAUCAUUCGAUGCAUUCAUAGUUUCAGAUAAACUGUACAUAUUGAGGAUUUCAAAGAUAUUAGAAUUAUAAACAGCAGCACAUGAAACUUUAAUUGAUUUUCUUUUUGAAUAAUAAUGGAUUUUGAGAGUCUUGUGGCA